This 982-nucleotide ribosomal RNA is filed under the name Ligilactobacillus salivarius. RNAcentral's name for it is "bacterial SSU rRNA". It matches the Rfam family "Bacterial small subunit ribosomal RNA", at positions 39 to 993 of the family's 1533-position model. The record is from RNAcentral. Lineage: Bacteria; Bacillati; Bacillota; Bacilli; Lactobacillales; Lactobacillaceae.
GCUGGCGUGCAUAACUGCAGUCGACGAAACUUUCUUACACCGAAUGCUUGCAUUCAUCGUAAGAAGUUGAGUGGCGGACGGGUGAGUAACACGUGGGUAACCUGCCUAAAAGAAGGGGAUAACACUUGGAAACAGGUGCUAAUACCGUAUAUCUCUAAGGAUCGCAUGAUCCUUAGAUGAAAGAUGGUUCUGCUAUCGCUUUUAGAUGGACCCGCGGCGUAUUAACUAGUUGGUGGGGUAACGGCCUACCAAGGUGAUGAUACGUAGCCGAACUGAGAGGUUGAUCGGCCACAUUGGGACUGAGACACGGCCCAAACUCCUACGGGAGGCAGCAGUAGGGAAUCUUCCACAAUGGACGCAAGUCUGAUGGAGCAACGCCGCGUGAGUGAAGAAGGUCUUCGGAUCGUAAAACUCUGUUGUUAGAGAAGAACACGAGUGAGAGUAACUGUUCAUUCGAUGACGGUAUCUAACCAGCAAGUCACGGCUAACUACGUGCCAGCAGCCGCGGUAAUACGUAGGUGGCAAGCGUUGUCCGGAUUUAUUGGGCGUAAAGGGAACGCAGGCGGUCUUUUAAGUCUGAUGUGAAAGCCUUCGGCUUAACCGGAGUAGUGCAUUGGAAACUGGAAGACUUGAGUGCAGAAGAGGAGAGUGGAACUCCAUGUGUAGCGGUGAAAUGCGUAGAUAUAUGGAAGAACACCAGUGGCGAAAGCGGCUCUCUGGUCUGUAACUGACGCUGAGGUUCGAAAGCGUGGGUAGCAAACAGGAUUAGAUACCCUGGUAGUCCACGCCGUAAACGAUGAAUGCUAGGUGUUGGAGGGUUUCCGCCCUUCAGUGCCGCAGCUAACGCAAUAAGCAUUCCGCCUGGGGAGUACGACCGCAAGGUUGAAACUCAAAGGAAUUGACGGGGGCCCGCACAAGCGGGGGAGCAUGGGGUUUAAUUCGAAGCAACGCGAAGAACCUUACCAGGCCUUGACAUCCUUUG